GAUGAACGCUGGCGGCGUGCCUAAUACAUGCAAGUCGAGCGAACGGACGAGAAGCUUGCUUCUCUGAUGUUAGCGGCGGACGGGUGAGUAACACGUGGAUAACCUACCUAUAAGACUGGGAUAACUUCGGGAAACCGGAGCUAAUACCGGAUAAUAUUUUGAACCGCAUGGUUCAAAAGUGAAAGACGGUCUUGCUGUCACUUAUAGAUGGAUCCGCGCUGCAUUAGCUAGUUGGUAAGGUAACGGCUUACCAAGGCAACGAUGCAUAGCCAACCUGAGAGGGUGAUCGGCCACACUGGAAUUGAGACACGGUCCAGACUCCUACGGGAGGCAGCAGUAGGGAAUCUUCCGCAAUGGGCGAAAGCCUGACGGAGCAACGCCGCGUGAGUGAUGAAGGUCUUCGGAUCGUAAAACUCUGUUAUUAGGGAAGAACAUAUGUGUAAGUAACUGUGCACAUCUUGACGGUACCUAAUCAGAAAGCCACGGCUAACUACGUG
This 497-nucleotide ribosomal RNA is filed under the name uncultured bacterium. RNAcentral's name for it is "partial 16S ribosomal RNA". It matches the Rfam family "Bacterial small subunit ribosomal RNA", at positions 28 to 507 of the family's 1533-position model. The record is from RNAcentral.